ACGUGGCUUGUACAGAAAAAGAAC
This 24-nucleotide non-coding RNA is filed under the name Arabidopsis thaliana (thale cress). The record is from RNAcentral. Lineage: Eukaryota; Viridiplantae; Streptophyta; Magnoliopsida; Brassicales; Brassicaceae.